AAACGCUGGCGGCGCACAUAAGACAUGCAAGUCGAACGGAAGUCGUUGUAAUGAUAUAGACAUGGACUGAGAACUUGUUCAAAGAAAGUGAAAGUUGACUUACAACAAUGGCUUUAGUGGCGGACUGGUGAGUAACACGUAAGCAACCUGCCUAUCAGAGGGGAACAACAGUUAGAAAUGACUGCUAAUACCGCAUAUGCCUAAGUAUCACAUGAUACAAUAGGGAAAGGAGCAAUCUGCUGAUAGAUGGGCUUGCGUCUGAUUAGAUAGUUGGUGGGGCAACGGCCUACCAAGUCGACGAUCAGUAGCCGGACUGAGAGGUUGAACGGCCACAUUGGGACUGAGAUACGGCCCAGACUCCUACGGGAGGCAGCAGUCGGGAAUAUUGCGCAAUGGAGGAAACUCUGACGCAGUGACGCCGCGUGCAGGAAGAAGGUUUUCGGAUUGUAAACUGCUUUAGACAGGGAAGAAUAAAGACAGUACCUGUAGAAUAAGCUCCGGCUAACUACGUGCCAGCAGCCGCGGUAAUACGUAGGGAGCAAGCGUUAUCCGGAUUUAUUGGGUGUAAAGGGUGCGUAGACGGGAAAUUAAGUUAGUUGUGAAAUCCCUCGGCUUAACUGAGGAACUGCAACUAAAACUGGUUUUCUUGAGUGCUGGAGAGGAAAGUGGAAUUCCUAGUGUAGCGGUGAAAUGCGUAGAUAUUAGGAGGAACACCAGUGGCGAAGGCGACUUUCUGGACAGUAACUGACGUUGAGGCACAAAAGUGUGGGGAGCAAACAGGAUUAGAUACCCUGGUAGUCCACACCGUAAACGAUGGAUACUAGGUGUAGGGUGUGAUAAACAUUCUGUGCCGUCGCAAACGCAAUAAGUAUCCCACCUGGGGAGUACGGCCGCAAGGUUA
This 901-nucleotide ribosomal RNA is filed under the name uncultured Bacillota bacterium. RNAcentral describes it as "bacterial SSU rRNA". It matches the Rfam family "Bacterial small subunit ribosomal RNA", at positions 31 to 896 of the family's 1533-position model. Lineage: Bacteria; Bacillati; Bacillota. The record is from RNAcentral.